CUGCUUCUGGACCUUUGAGCCCAAUCCGUUUCCUGGUUAGAUUGCAUCAGGUUCUUCCCUGCACUUGGCACUGUUAGGGGUUUUCUUUUAGCCAUUCUGGCAGCCAAGCAGGUGAGCUCAGAGCAAAAUGGGACUGGUGAACAGAAACCCAAGAGCCAGCCGUGGCCAGAGUCACUCCUCAGGAAGCCCCAGGCCCACUCCGCACCCGCAUGCUUGAGCAAAAAGGAGGAAGACACCAGAGUUUCCCCAGCGAGCUCCCAGCUCAAGCCCCUGACUCCUCUCCUCCUCCAAGGAUACUGGCGGCCGAGUCCAUCACUCUGCACACGGCCCUGGGAGCAGCAGAGCUGGCUGACCUUCCCACUGGAUUUCGUUCUCUUCACACAGCUGCCAUGAGAUUCAGCAGUUUCCCUGAAUUACACCCCCUACGAAGAUGUAAUCCUACUCUUCAUAACCAUAGAGCAUAAAUUCAUGCUGUUUUAGGCCACUAAGUUUGUAGUAAGGCCUCAUUCCUUAAAAGAUAAAUGUGAAACUGCA
Cavia porcellus (domestic guinea pig) is the source of this 534-nucleotide long non-coding RNA. RefSeq lists it as uncharacterized. The record is from RefSeq and is a predicted model, not a curated record. Lineage: Eukaryota; Metazoa; Chordata; Mammalia; Rodentia; Caviidae. The transcript has 3 exons.